Molecule: long non-coding RNA, 457 nt
Filed under: Cottoperca gobio
Lineage: Eukaryota; Metazoa; Chordata; Actinopteri; Perciformes; Bovichtidae
Description: lncRNA (ENSCGOG00000010450.1)
Source: RNAcentral
AUCCAUUUUCAGGAACAUUGUAAAAUGUGAUUUCAUUCGAGAUCUGCUUAUAUGAUACCUCAGGGAGCCCUGCUGAAAGACAUCUGCAUGAGAGCAGUGAAACAUGUUGGAUGUGUGAUGAAUGACAGGAGGAAGCAUCAAGCACAGUGUGGUGAAGCUAAAGGCAUGUGUGUCCACAGCGAGCCGAGGAGGAACAUUCAUAAGAGCACAGUGUUUACUUUGCUUCCACCACGAGCACGGUCCUAUGGAGACACAGGGCUCUCCUCCAGAGGCACUGAGCUGCUGGCCCUGCAAGUGCAGGGGUUCUGCUGUCCCCUCCAGCAGAGGCCCAGCAGUGGGAGGGUGACACACAGGGUGACACCUCAGAGCAGAGGAGGAGGAGAUGGGAGCCUCACUCUGCUGAGCAGUCUCAACGUAAAGCUGGAGAGCCGAAGCAAAACAGCAUCAAGGCCCAGUA